UCAACAUACCGGCCAACAUGGAUAUUUUCGGGUUUGCGGCGAAACGACAAGCCCAGCCUUCUCUUUCUUCGCUUCUCUUUGACCUCGUCGCGACGCGAAACACCAUCCUCCGGAUAUCUUCAUCUAUCCUGAUCCUGAUCGUUCCCGAGUCUUCCGCGCCCUUGGCGGUGCUCCUUUGGUCUCGUAUACGUUCCGUUGCUUCCGUUUUAUCGAUCAGAACCUUGGUCGUGUUGGAGCAAGGUCCGUCUCGAAGCGUAUUGGAUGCAACUUACUUUUCACACGUUAUUGGGUUAGAAUUGGGUUGAACCUUUUUGAGGAGCGAUUAUGUUUGUGCUUUGUGCUAAUGAGAUUAUAGAUGGUGGAUGGUUAUUUGAGCGGAUAGUAAAUGAGAGAUAAAUUAAUUAGGAUUUUCUUAAUGCGUUAGAUUAGAUUUGUGGAAAUAUAGAUAUUGUAGAUAUCCUGUAGAUAUUUGAUGAUAACUGGAGAAAUAGAAAAAAAAAUUUUUUUUUUCCUAAAAUAUAGAUAUAUAUUUAAGUUAUCGAUAUAAAUAAUUUAUAUUAUAGAAAUGUAAGAAGAAAGGCUAUUUAAAAAAGAAUAUAAUUAAGAAAAAAAUUUGGAAAAAUAUUUAUAGAUAAAAUUUAUUAUUGCGAGAGACAGAGAUUGUACUGCCAUUUAUUUGACCUUGAAAUCAUCUUGAACAACUCUAACCAAGUCACAAUUUUUUUUUUCCUUAUAUUCUUAUCGCGGAUUUUUAAAAUGUUAUGGAAAUAUCAAUUGAUAAAAUGUAUAGAAACAAUAUUAUUUCAAUUAAAAUUACCAAUAAAAAGACAAUUAUUAAUACAAAACAAUAUUGACGCGAUUGUACUUUAAAUAUAGAUAUUAAAUUCAGACAUUGCUUUCAGACUCGGAAUUGAACGAGUGAAAAAAAUGAUUGAAAAAAUGUAAUAUUUACUUACAUGUUGCACAAAAUAAGUAUUUAAAAGUAAAUAUACUGGUUUAUUCGUAAGUGAAGGAAUUAUGGUAGAUGUAAAGCGUGGUAAAAUAUUGGGAAAAAGAAAAAAUUGAGUUUCUCGAAGCAAGGUUUGCUCGCUACUUGUUAGCAUCGUCGAGGUAUGGUAAUAAGUGGGAAGGCGAGGCUUAUCUACUCAUAAGUUGCUUACUCAUUAUUGUGCCGGUUUUGAAUAAUUUACAGCGACGACACGUCGGGGCACGUGGCCGUUCCUCUCGUACGCUGUGCAACUAGUAUUUACGAUUUUGUAAAAGGGACUGUACGAUAAGAUAAUGGUGACAGUAAUUUAAAGACGCUCGUGUGUGAUUUAGAAGUAAAAACGAGGCCGUGUAAGGAUCCGUAGAUUUCUUGAUCGAGAUUGUUCUUUCAAAAAAUCUGAAAGAAAAAAGUCUGGGACACUUAUUGAAGUUUUUUACUUCGUUAUACAAUCAUUCAUAAAAUUAAAUAAAGGAUCCAGUGGGAAAUAGAAGUUAUGGGAACCGGAAGGAUAUUCUCAAGCACAUUUACAGCAGUUAAAUAGCCACUAGGAUCGAUUUUGGAGAAAGUGACCAAAGUGGUAGUGAAACGACCGGUACUAUAAAACAACUUUGAAAGUGUUACUUGAGAGAAAAAUAGAAAGAAGUAAUAAAGAAAGGUUCUGGAUGAAUCUGAUUAACUCUCUUAACUUUAUAACAUUAGAACUAACAAAUCAAAUUGGUUUGGUUUUAGAUUUUUUGUUUUUGUAAUUGUUAAAAAAAACCAAAUCAUUUUCUUCCAUAAAAUUUU
Long non-coding RNA from Apis laboriosa (Himalayan honeybee), 1774 nucleotides. RefSeq lists it as uncharacterized. The record is from RefSeq and is a predicted model, not a curated record. Lineage: Eukaryota; Metazoa; Arthropoda; Insecta; Hymenoptera; Apidae. The transcript has 3 exons.